GCAGGUCAGGCGGGGUCACAUCCAGCAUCACAGCUCUGACGGUAGCAGGCGACACCUCACACAGACAGCCACACCAUUUCAUUGUAACUGACUGAAAUCAUUAACAAUGAAGAUCUUCCUUCCUCUUUGCCUCCUGUGUUUAUUCACAGUUACUUCGACACGAGGAUGCAAUCCAUUCAGAGCCUGCCAUGAGCAUAACAAUCCCGUGUGUGGGUCUGACGGUCGCACCUACGAUAACUGGUGUACCUUCAAAGCCGAACUGCAGUCGUCCAACCCUAAACUUGACCUGGUUUACUGCGGAGCUUGUCGCAAAGACUAAAAACGACAUCAGAUGGACUGACAACUUCCUGUCUAUGUAUUACAUUACCGAAACACACAGUCAUCUGAUUCUGGCCAUGUUCACUGUAUACACAAAGGUUUGAUAUACACGGUCAAGUCUUGUGUGGUCUAGUACUGAAUCUGCUCUGAACGUGUUUGUCAAGAAAAUAUGGAAUCUGUGAAAAGAGGAAGAUAAAAUAAACUACAACAUUGAAAUUACCUGCAAA
Long non-coding RNA from Pomacea canaliculata, 545 nucleotides. RefSeq lists it as uncharacterized. The record is from RefSeq and is a predicted model, not a curated record. Lineage: Eukaryota; Metazoa; Mollusca; Gastropoda; Architaenioglossa; Ampullariidae. The transcript is spliced from 3 exons.